This 524-nucleotide unclassified non-coding RNA is filed under the name Amphibalanus amphitrite. RNAcentral's name for it is "uncharacterized LOC122383498, transcript variant X1". The record is from RNAcentral. Lineage: Eukaryota; Metazoa; Arthropoda; Thecostraca; Balanomorpha; Balanidae.
UCACCAGAAAUGCAAUCGUUCACAGGACAACCGCUCCAUACAUGCCGUCUUCCAACGGGCUGGCUGAGAGAGCGGUGCGAGAGCUGAAGAUUCGGCUCAACAAGAUGUCAGCUGAUCAACCGAUGUCGUGGAUCCCUGGAGCCGAGCGACAGCCAUCCGGACUCGCCGCGCCCUGGUGUUGGAGCGCGCUCUGGCUCCGCCGGCGGCUCGCAUGCCGCUACGCCGCUGGACACUGCCCUGGCCUCGCCAGGAGGAGGCGCGGAGGCGGUGCGGCCUGCGUCCCCUGUCGACGUCGACGAGCCGGGGGACUCUGUUCGGCCGCCCGAGGACCGCCGAGCCGCGUCUCCCGCCCGCGUCGCUGACGGCGUGGGAGCGAGGGAUGCCGAUGGGGAAGAAGGGCGCUAUCCUGUGCGCGUGAGGCGAGCGCCUGAUCGUUUCGGACACUGAUGUGCCGUGAUUCUAUCCGGUAGAAACCGUGACUGAUUCAGUUAAUUUUGUUUUGUUAACUCUGACCAUUGACUCGU